This 266-nucleotide ribosomal RNA is filed under the name uncultured bacterium. Its description in RNAcentral is "partial 16S ribosomal RNA". It matches the Rfam family "Bacterial small subunit ribosomal RNA", at positions 333 to 616 of the family's 1533-position model. The record is from RNAcentral.
UUGUUCCUACGGGGGGCAGCAGUAGGGAAUAUUGCUCAAUGGGGGAAACCCUGAAGCAGCAACGCCGCGUGGAGGAUGAAGGCUUUCGGAUUGUAAACUCCUUUUGUUAGAGAAGAUAAUGACGGUAUCUAACGAAUAAGCACCGGCUAACUCCGUGCCAGCAGCCGCGGUAAUACGGAGGGUGCAAGCGUUACUCGGAAUCACUGGGCGUAAAGAGCGCGUAGGCGGGAUAGCAAGUCAGAUGUGAAAUCCUAUGGAUUAAACAU